GGGCCCGCACAAGCGGUGGAGCAUGUGGUUUAAUUCGAUGAUACGCGAGGAACCUUACCAGGGCUUAAAUGGGAAAUGACAGGGGCAGAGACGCCCCCUUCUUCGGACAUUUUCAAUGGUGCUGCAUGGUUGUCGUCAGCUCGUGCCGUGAGGUGUCAGGUUAAGUCCUAUAACGAGCGCAACCCCUACCGUUAGUUGCCAGCGUGUAAUGACGGGGACUCUAACGGAACUGCCGGUGCAAACCGUGAGGAAGGUGGGGACGACGUCAAAUCAUCACGGCCCUUACGUCCUGGCCACACACGUGCUACAAUGGUACUUACAAUGGGAAGCAAAAGAGGCGACUCCUAGCUAA
RNAcentral lists this ribosomal RNA (352 nucleotides) under uncultured bacterium. Its description in RNAcentral is "bacterial SSU rRNA". It matches the Rfam family "Bacterial small subunit ribosomal RNA", at positions 917 to 1271 of the family's 1533-position model. The record is from RNAcentral.